GACGAACGCUGGCGGCGUGCUUAACACAUGCAAGUCGAACGGAAAGGCCCUGCUUUUGUGGGGUGCUCGAGUGGCGAACGGGUGAGUAACACGUGAGUAACCUGCCCUUGACUUUGGGAUAACUUCAGGAAACUGGGGCUAAUACCGGAUAGGAGCUCCUGCUGCAUGGUGGGGGUUGGAAAGUUUCGGCGGUUGGGGAUGGACUUGCGGCUUAUCAGCUUGUUGGUGGGGUAGUGGCUUACCAAGGCUUUGACGGGUAGCCGGCCUGAGAGGGUGACCGGCCAAAUAGGGCGUGAGAAAGGGCCCAGAGAACUGCGGGGGGGAGAGGGGGGAAAAAUGGCAAAAGGGGGGAGGGCGGAAUAAAGAAAGACGGGGGGGGGGAGAAAGUCUUUGGGGUGGUAAACCGCUUUGACUGGGGAAUAGACGUGGGGGAGGGUAAUGGGGAAAAAGGCCCGGGAUAAAAACGG
RNAcentral lists this ribosomal RNA (467 nucleotides) under uncultured bacterium. RNAcentral describes it as "partial 16S ribosomal RNA". The stretch from base 20 to 329 matches the Rfam family "Bacterial small subunit ribosomal RNA", at positions 47 to 358 of the family's 1533-position model. The record is from RNAcentral.